Molecule: ribosomal RNA, 938 nt
Filed under: uncultured bacterium
Lineage: Bacteria
Description: bacterial SSU rRNA
Rfam family: Bacterial small subunit ribosomal RNA
Source: RNAcentral
GAGGUGCNGCGUAUNNGAUCANUAGNUAAAGGUGNGUAGCGAUAUAGUCAGUGUGAAUCUGCGGCUCACCGUAAAUUGCCAUGAUACUGUAUCUGAGUAUGGUGAGUAGGCGGAAUGAGUAAUGUAGCGGUGAAAUGCUUAGAUAUUACUCAGAACACCGAUUGCGUAGGCAGCUUACCAAGCCAUCACUGACGCUGAGGCACGAAAGCGUGGGUAGCAAACAGGAUUAGAUACCCUGGUAGUCCACGCCGUAAACGUUGAUUACUCGUUGUUGGCAAUACACCGUCAGCGACUGAGCAAAAGCAUUAAGUAAUCCACCUGGGGAGUACGUCAGCAAUGAUGAAACUCAAAGGAAUUGACGGGGGCCCGCACAAGCGGAGGAACAUGUGGUUUAAUUCGAUGAUACGCGAGGAACCUUACCUGGGCUUAAAUGUUUAGUGAUCGACCGGGAGACCGGUUUUUCCUUCGGGACACUUUACAAGGUGCUGCAUGGUUGUCGUCAGCUCGUGCCGUGAGGUGUCGGGUUAAGUCCCAUAACGAGCGCAACCCCUAUCGCCAGUUGCCAGCACAUAAUGGUGGGAACUCUGGUGAAACUGCCGGUGCAAACCGUGAGGAAGGUGGGGAUGACGUCAAAUCAGCACGGCCCUUAUGUCCAGGGCUACACACGUGUUACAAUGGUCGGUACAACAGGAUGCCAAUCCGCAAGGAUGAGCUAAUCCCAAAAGCCGAUCUUAGUUCGGAUCGGAGUCUGCAAUUCGACUCCGUGAAGUUGGAUUCGCUAGUAAUCGCAGAUCAGCCAUGCUGCGGUGAAUACGUUCCCGGGCCUUGUACACACCGCCCGUCAAGCCAUGGAAGCCGGGGGUGCCUGAAGUCCGUAACCGUAAGGAGCGGCCCAGGGUAAAACCGGUAACUGGGGCUAAGUCGUAACAAGGUAGCCA